GACGAUCUUACAAUGUUCCACCGCCUCCAAUGGAGCCUGAUCAUCCCUUCUACAGCAACGUCAGCAAGGAUCGCAGGUAUGCACCCUUUACUGAGGACCAGCUACCAUCCUGUGAGAGCCUGAAGGAUACUAUUGCCAGCACUGCCCUUAUGAAAUGAAGAAAUUGUCCUCCAGAUCAAGAACUGGGAAAGGGUCCUGAUUGCUGCCCAUGGCAACAGCCUUAGGGGGAUCCUCAAGCAUCUGGAGGGUCUCUCAGAAGAAGCCAUCGUGGAGCUGAACCUGCCAACCGGCAUUCCCAUCGUCUACGUACUGGACAAGAACUU
Molecule: long non-coding RNA, 323 nt
Filed under: Rattus norvegicus (Norway rat)
Lineage: Eukaryota; Metazoa; Chordata; Mammalia; Rodentia; Muridae
Description: long non-coding RNA NONRATT004400
Source: RNAcentral